RNAcentral lists this ribosomal RNA (152 nucleotides) under Mucor circinelloides. RNAcentral's name for it is "5.8S ribosomal RNA". It matches the Rfam family "5.8S ribosomal RNA". Rfam says of the family: 5.8S ribosomal RNA (5.8S rRNA) is a component of the large subunit of the eukaryotic ribosome. It is transcribed by RNA polymerase I as part of the 45S precursor that also contains 18S and 28S rRNA. Functionally, it is thought that 5.8S rRNA may be involved in ribosome translocation. Lineage: Eukaryota; Fungi; Mucoromycota; Mucoromycetes; Mucorales; Mucoraceae. The record is from RNAcentral.
AACUUUUAACAACGGAUCUCUUGGUUCUCGCAUCGAUGAAGAACGUAGCAAAGUGCGAUAACUAGUGUGAAUUGCAUAUUCAGUGAAUCAUCGAGUCUUUGAACGCAACUUGCGCUCAUUGGUAUUCCAAUGAGCACGCCUGUUUCAGUAUC